AGUGAACGCUGGCGGUAGGCCUAACACAUGCAAGUCGAACGGCAGCACAGUAAGAGCUUGCUCUUACGGGUGGCGAGUGGCGGACGGGUGAGGAAUACAUCGGAAUCUACUUUUUCGUGGGGGAUAACGUAGGGAAACUUACGCUAAUACCGCAUACGACCUACGGGUGAAAGCAGGGGAUCUUCGGACCUUGCGCGACUGAAUGAGCCGAUGUCGGAUUAGCUAGUUGGCGGGGUAAAGGCCCACCAAGGCGACGAUCCGUAGCUGGUCUGAGAGGAUGAUCAGCCACACUGGAACUGAGACACGGUCCAGACUCCUACGGGAGGCAGCAGUGGGGAAUAUUGGACAAUGGGCGCAAGCCUGAUCCAGCCAUACCGCGUGGGUGAAGAAGGCCUUCGGGUUGUAAAGCCCUUUUGUUGGGAAAGAAAAGCAGCAGGUUAAUACCCCGCUGUUCUGACGGUACCCAAAGAAUAAGCGCCGGCUAACUUCGUG
This 492-nucleotide ribosomal RNA is filed under the name uncultured bacterium. Its description in RNAcentral is "partial 16S ribosomal RNA". It matches the Rfam family "Bacterial small subunit ribosomal RNA", at positions 29 to 507 of the family's 1533-position model. The record is from RNAcentral.